UAUGGAAUUCAGGGAUCUGAGAAAAAAAAAUUGGAAAACUCCUCUGGAGUCUGGGGCAGUUACACAAUCAACCUCAUGGUGAGAUUAACCAACUUUGAUAAGCCUAAAUCCCCCAGUUUCAUUACAACACCAAAAUCCUUGAAUGAUGACGCAUCAGUCAUGGUUUCCAUUUCCACACAUUAAGAAAGGGGUUAAGGAUCUCGCCCUCCAGUAAGAAAAUUUUCUUUAACAAUCACAAGAACUUCACUGUGAAUUAUGACGACCAGCAAGAAUAGCAUCUGCAGCAGUAUCCAAGUCAUGGGGAAAGAAAACCCUACAGGUGUUAUGAUAAAUGGUCUUGCUCAUUUGAUCUAUGUCACUGACACCUUUACAGCCAGCCACAACCUCAAGAACUUGCCGAACCAAACAAGGCUCAUUCCGGCCUUUGACAAUGCAGUUCUGAUCAUACUUCUCUUUCUUCUUAGAGGGACACAAAGAUUUUACGAAAUUAAUCCCUGCAUGAGUAUUUUUGAUUUCACAAUAUGGAGAAUCUGUCUCAAUCAUCAUUCUCUCAACAGGAAUACCCUUCACGACAUCAAGGUUCUCAAUUGUCUUCAAUGAGCAACCAUUUAGACCUAUGUACAUAUUAUUGAAUGAGAGAAUUUUAUCACAAUCUUCUGCACUGCCAGUAAACGAAUGAGUGACCCCAGCACUGAAUUUAUCCCUGUUGCGCUCCACAAUCUCACAGAAAUCAUCAGCAGCUGCACGCAUAUGUAGAAACAUAGGCAGCUUUGUGGCGUGUGCUAAUUCAAACUGCUUCUCAAAAUACUUUUUCUGAAUCUCUGCUGGACAAAAGUGAAGCCUAUCAUAAUCCAAUCCACACUCACCAAUGGCCACCACCUUCCCUUUCUGAAUUCCCUCUUGGGCCAAUGACAGAAGAGCCUGAAAAUGCUGUUCUGGAUCUGCACUUUCUUCAAACUCCUUGCACCUUGUAGGGUGGAC
This 981-nucleotide unclassified non-coding RNA is filed under the name Hevea brasiliensis (rubber tree). The record is from RNAcentral. Lineage: Eukaryota; Viridiplantae; Streptophyta; Magnoliopsida; Malpighiales; Euphorbiaceae.